UUAGUUAGUACUAAGAUUAUUUAUCUCACUAUUUCUAUCAUAAUAAUGAAAUAAAUUAUCCUAUAUAUAUAAUUGAAUAGCUAAAUUCAAAAUUAGUUAUCUCAAAAUAACUCUAUUCCAAACAAACAAAGAAGAUGUAUCUAUUUUAGUCUGAACAGAACCAAUGGGGAAGGUCCCUAACAGGAACCGCACUUCCUAUAACUGGAUCUGGCACCUCCAUGUCCCCAACAAGAUCAAAACCUUCAUGUGGCUCUUGCACCACAACAGCCUCCCAACCAAAGUCACUCUUUCCAAGUGGGGCCUGAACAUUCCUACCAAUUGUCUCUCUUGCAACUUAGAUAAUGAGGACCAGCACCACAUUUUCUUUGGUUGCAACACUGCCAAAGCCUUUUGGCUUUACCUUAUCCAUAAAUAUAAGGGAAACCUUCAUCUUCACCUAUCAAUGUUUGACACUAACAACUGGUCUUCCACUUGAAAAACUCUUAGCAAAGAUUCCUUUGACACCAACACUUCCUAGGGCACUCUCCUACUCUUUUGCUUAUGGCACCUUUGGAAAGUUAGAAAUGCUCAUAACUUUCAAGACUCAAACUUCCCCCUAGCUUCAGCAUCCCCCAUGCGAAAGCGGUGGAGUAUCACUACCUUGGCAACCCCACAAAUCAUCACCCUGCCAAUGUCACCUGUGUGAAGUGGUUACCCCCUGCCCCUAACACCUAUAAGCUGAACACUGAUGGUUCAUGUCUUGUGACUCGGGAAAAGGGGGAAUUGGAGAGGUAUUUAGGAAUAGCAGAUGAGGCUGGGUCAGCAAGAGUUUCAUUUAUGCCACUAACAACCUUAUGGAGCUUCUUGCUCUCAAAGAGGGUCUCCAACUAGUUUUGGAUCACAACCUGCAGCCCUUAGAUGUCUCUACUAAGGAGUUUGGGGAAUCCUCCGGUCUACCACACAUAUCGGGAGCAGAAUAGAGUAGCGGAUUGGAUGACUAAGCAGAGAUCAAAGCAAAAGCUUUUGAAUAAAAUGCAUAUUUUCGUAACUCCGCCUGUUAAUGUAGGAGUAAUCUUUUGAAAGGACUUAACGAGCAAGUCCUUCCCACGAACUACAAAUUGUAAUGGGCACUUAAUACCCAGUGUUUAUCAUUUUGAGCUUGGUUAGACUAUUUCUCUUGUAAAAAACUCUUUUAUUAAUGUAAAUCUCUCCUAUUUACCAAAAAAAAAAAAAAAAAAGAACCCAUGGGGAAGUAUUUGUGGUCCUAAAAAUCAAAGAUUAAAAUGGUACCACUAUUUUUAUGGACCACGUCACAUUUGUAUAUAAACUUCCACGUGGAUAGAUCAGAAGCUUAUACUAAUCUGUGUUCACAU
This is a long non-coding RNA of Capsicum annuum, 1352 nucleotides long. RefSeq lists it as uncharacterized. The record is from RefSeq and is a predicted model, not a curated record. The transcript has 2 exons. NCBI's taxonomy places the organism in Eukaryota, Viridiplantae, Streptophyta, Magnoliopsida, Solanales, Solanaceae.